This 1031-nucleotide long non-coding RNA is filed under the name Brassica napus (rape). RNAcentral describes it as "long non-coding RNA (BNAP_LNC008237)". The record is from RNAcentral. Lineage: Eukaryota; Viridiplantae; Streptophyta; Magnoliopsida; Brassicales; Brassicaceae.
GUGUCAUGGAUGACAUGGUUGUGGUUGUAGAUGUUUUGGUUUGCUUAAGCUUUGUUUUGCGUGGACGACAUGAUUAUGGUUGUGGUAGGUAUGUUCAGUCUAGUCGUUUGAAUGUAAGGGCUACUUUGAGGCCAAGGUUAGGAUGGACGUGGUUAACAUAACAGUAUUGUGGGUUGUGUUUUGUUGUGGACCUGCUUGUUUAGGGUGUGUAUGUCGUGAAAGUGUUGUUGUGGUUAAGUGGGUGUGGUUAGUGUGACAGGUUUAGUGGUCUGAUUGUGGUGCAAGACGGGUGUUGUGGUUCAUUAUGGAUGACAUGUUGGUGGUUGGCAUGUGGUAAACAAGAAGCUUUAGUGGAGUGUGUUAUGACUUAGUUAUGAAGGUGGUGUAGUGGUUGUGGUCAGUUUCAAUUUUGUAGUAGAGGAAUAAUUCAAUUUUAGGGUGUGAUUAUGGUCUGGGUUUGAGAUUAGGUGGGUGAAGUGUCAUGGAUGACACGGUUGUGGUUGUAGAUGUUUUGGUUUGCUUAAGCUUUUUUUUGCAUGGACGAUAUAAUUAUGGUUGUGGUAGGUAUGUUCAGUCUAGUCGUUUGAAUGUAGGGGCUACUUUGAGGCCAGGGUUAGGAUGGACGUGGUUAACAUAACAAUAUUGUGGGUUGUGUUUUGUUGUGGACCUGCUUGUUUAGGGUGUGUAUGUCGUGAAAGUGUUGUUGUGGUUAAGUGGGUGUGGUUAGUGUGAAGCUUUUCUGGGCUGAGAAACGUAAAAAUCUCAAGAAUUUCUGAGACGAUGAUAUGGUGAAACAGAGAUGCAAAUUCGGAGAGGAGAGACAGGAAAUCAAAGAGACAAGGGUUUGGGGAGGUUUGAUUUGGACCGGAACGCUAAAGAACUUAUGGGGCGACAAGCGGAAGGCGAGACGAUGCUAUGGUGAAACAGAGAGGGGGAUUCGGAGAGGAGAAUCAGAAAAUCGAAGAGAGAAGGGUUGGGGGAGGUCUGAUUUGAGUUCAAUUUCAGAUCAUUUUUCUGAGGAGAAGACACUG